UCACAUAAGGUUUAUUCGGUAUUUAGAGGAAGCGUUUAACCAUGUAGUGUUGAAGUACCUGUGUAAAAAGCUUGGUUCAGUGUCCAGAUGAAACACCAGUUUUACUGUACAGGAUGUGAUGAUGGUUAAAUGCGAAUGAUGUCAUUGCAAAGACAAUCUUUGCCUGAGAUUAGGAUCUGGUGGACGAUCUGAAACAAACAUUCCUACAAUAUGACGUGUUUGUUUUAGGCGCAGAACAAGGAAACAGAAAGCCAUCUUGUGGCAGUAUGGAGGAGAUUGUGGCUUGCCCAAUGAACUUUGCUCCUGUGUGUGGCACCGAUGGCAACACGUACCCCAACGAGUGUGCACUCUGUGUCAAGAGACAAGAAACCAAAAUGGACAUUUUGGUCAUCAAGGAGGGGAGCUGCUAAGGGGAUCUGAAGUCACCAAAAAAAUGACAUAAUCUUGUUGCUUUAAUAAACCAAUGUGCAAAUAAGACUUGGUGUUUUUGUUUUAUUUUGAUAGGCCAUUCUUACUGUAUAUCCAAUGCAUACACAUCCAACAUAACUGAGACCUAAAGGACAAAUCCGUUACCUGGUGCUGUAGGGAUUGGUGUGUUGGUCUUUACCAUCUGACCAACCUGGACCACCGCACCACCAGGGGGAGCUGCCUUCACCUCAGCACCCAUUCCUCCCACAGCUCUGAGCACACCUGAUUCAGCUUGUGAUUUCUCCCUGGUUUUGUCUGUCUGUUUUAAACUGCAAUUGAAAUAACAUUGUAACAGUUCACUCCCUGUUCACCCUCCGACAAUAUGGUUGGAAAACUAGUGAUCCUUUUGUGUGUGACUCUUCUUGGUGCCUUUUCAGGGGCUGAAGGGCAUACUGGAUUUCAUCAAGUGCCGUCUUGUGGCGACAUGGCAGAGAUUCAGGUUUGCCUUACAGUCAUUGAACCUGUGUGUGGCUCUGAUGGUAACAUCUACAGAAAUGAGUGUGAGCUGUGUCUCCAUAUAAGAGAAACCCAAAUUGAGUUGUCCAUUGUGGGCAUGGAUAGAUGCCCAAGAGGAUAAUGUCUCCAAAUAAAACCUAAUUUUUCCCUAAAAUGUAAUGUAAUCAACUGGCAA
RNA transcript from Esox lucius (northern pike), 1099 nucleotides. It is a transcript of the gene named probable pancreatic secretory proteinase inhibitor, with no coding region annotated. The transcript is spliced from 6 exons. The record is from RefSeq and is a predicted model, not a curated record. Lineage: Eukaryota; Metazoa; Chordata; Actinopteri; Esociformes; Esocidae.